Molecule: ribosomal RNA, 253 nt
Filed under: uncultured bacterium
Lineage: Bacteria
Description: partial 16S ribosomal RNA
Rfam family: Bacterial small subunit ribosomal RNA
Source: RNAcentral
UACGUAGGGGGCAAGCGUUGUCCGGAAUCAUUGGGCGUAAAGAGCGUGUAGGCGGUCCUGUAAGUCCGCUGUGAAAGUCAAGGGCUCAACCCUUGAAUGCCGGUGGAUACUGCAGGACUAGAGUCCGGAAGAGGCGAGUGGAAUUCCUGGUGUAGCGGUGAAAUGCGCAGAUAUCAGGAGGAACACCGGUGGCGAAGGCGGAUCUCUGGGCCUUACCUGACGCUCAGGUGCGAAAGCUAGGGGAGCGAACAGG